GAUUACAACCUUAUGACUGGGCCUUAUGACGCGUCCUCAACUCAUCCCCACUGUCCUACCAACAAGGCUAGAAUCAAUAGUACCACUGGCUGGUGUCCCGGCAGGUCCGUAGAUGGACAAUACUUACAGGUGGCAUUUCGGACCGUCUCUAUGCUGAAGGCUAUAACGACCCUCGGGAGGGUUAACGCAGAUCAAUGGGUGAUCAAGUACAAAGUCAGAACCAGUAUGGACGGAGUCACUUGGACCUACGUAUCGAACUCUACCGGAGAUGAAAUGAUAAAUGUGAUAAAUGGAAAGCCAAGCUGGGAUUAGCCGGUGAUGUUUUGCCCGUACUUUUGGAAACAGACACAUGAAAUCAGGAACUGUGUGGUGUGCAGUGUCGCAAACAAGCUAACUGUGAUAAUUUCCUAUUUGACGUCACAUCCGCCCGUUGCAGAUUGCUGAAAUCGACACCAGAUAGGUCAAAUGACGCUGUCAACCUGGAUGGAGUGUGGUAUUUCGUGAAAACAUUGGUGUGACGAAGUCCUGCCUAAGACAGAGUUAUGCGGCCAUGAAUUGCUUGAUAAAUAUGCGACCUUUGGGGGUCAUAGGUCAUUGCCAACCCCGACAAGUAUUUUGAUAAAGAAAUAGUUUAUGUUUAUAUUUACAAAUGUGAUGCAAUCUGAAAUAUUACAAUCUAUAGAAGGAUUAACCUGAAUCUAGUCCAACUAUCUGUCAAUUUUUUAGAAAUUAAAAUCUGAGAGUAUACGUACAUUUAAAUGAACAUGACUGCAUCUUCAAUAAGCAUGAUGUUCGCAGCUUCGUUGACAAUGAUUAGAUAAUCAUUUUGUAAAAAUGUCUAUCAGUAAUUACACGAUACUGGUUAGGUGAUUCAAAACAAUAAUGCAACUUCUCUUUUCGGUUUGUUCAAUUUAGGAGAUUCAAAUUCAACCUAAUUUUGUGAUCGCAUUAUUAUUGGAUAGUAUGGGGCUAAAUUUAAUAACAAAUUUGAUGCGUGCUUUUUACAUAACUAACGCGGCUCUCCGUUUCUGAUUGGUCAAUUUGUUUCCGUGCAUUAACUCCCCUGAACAUGUUUCGUUUUCAACCACACCCGGCGGGUAUAUGAUGUUGGUGUCACGAAAUGCCUUUGCGUUUGCCAGCCUCCAAAAUGUAUGUAUAUCAAGUAUCUAUCAUUACAAUUCAGUAGUUUUCCUCGCAUGUUUGUUCAGCAUUCGCAUCACGCAAUUCUGUGAAUCGUAUGUAUACACAAAAUCUCUGCAACGAACAACAGAUAUAAUAUAUCCUGCACAUUCCACAACUUUGCUCACAUUUUCAUUUGUGCACUGUUUCAUAACAUGGUAUCAAAUCUCUAUAAGAUGUAUCUUUGUGUGUGCAAAUUGAGUAUAUGUAUAAUGAUAAUGGUGUGUGUGUAAAAUAAUAUUUUUUUCGCUGCCGUUAUCCAUAAUGAUGACCAUUAUGUUGUCGUGUUGAUGCUGCUGUUGCUGAUGCUGAGGAGGAAGAUGAUGA
Molecule: long non-coding RNA, 1506 nt
Organism: Mizuhopecten yessoensis (Yesso scallop)
Lineage: Eukaryota; Metazoa; Mollusca; Bivalvia; Pectinida; Pectinidae
Exons: 3
Source: RefSeq, a predicted model, not a curated record